UAGCGGAGAAAUUCCAAUCGAACUCGGAGAUAGCUGGUUCUCCCCGAAAUAGCUUUAGGGCUAGCGUUGGCUUAGAUUACCGGAGGUAAAGCACUGAAUGGGCUAGGGGCCGAUAAGGUUACUGAACCCUAUCAAACUCUGAAUGCCGGAUAAUUGAUGGCCAGCAGUCAGUCUACGUGAGAUAAGUCUCGUGGACAAAAGGGAAACAGCCCAGACCCACAGCUAAGGUCCCAAAGAUACGCUAAGUGGAAAACGAUGUGGAGUUGCGAAAACAACCAGGAUGUUGGCUUAGAAGCAGCCACUCAUUAAAAGAGUGCGUAAUAGCUCACUGGUCGAGUGACUCUGCGCGGAAAAUAUAACGGGGCUAAGCGUAACACCGAAGCUUGGGCUGCACAGCAAUGUGCGGGGUAGGGGAGCGUCGAAUAUGGGGUGAAGUCGCAGCGGAAGCAGCGGUGGACUGUAUUCGAGUGAGAAUGCCGGAAUGAGUAGCGAGAAUUAUGUGGGAAUCAUAAUGGCCGAAAAUCUAAGGUUUCCUGGGGAAGGUUCGUCCGCCCAGGGUAAGCCGGGAGCUAAGGCGAGGCCGAAAGGCGUAGUCGAUGCACAUACGGUUGAAAUUCCGUAGCCACCGAACCUUAAGUACACUGACACAUGGAGAUAGCGGGACCCGGGCGUUGGUUGACCCGGGCGUAAGGGACCGAACUUUAGUAGGGAAGUCCGCGAUGCUCUGUGGCGAGAAAAGGUGUAUGGUAUGCUAAGGUGCCCGUACCGCAAACCGACACAGGUAGAUGAGGAGAGAAUCCUAAGGCCAACGGGAGAAGGGUUGUUAAGGAACUCGGCAAAAUGACCCCGUAACUUCGGGAUAAGGGGAGCCUCCUACGGGAGGCCGCAGCGAAUAGGCCCAAGCGACUGUUUACCAAAAACACAGGUCUCUGCUAAAUCGAAAGAUGACGUAUAGGGGCUGACGCCUGCCCGGUGCUGGAAGGUUAAGAGGAGAUGUUAGCCGCAAGGCGAAGCAUUGAAUCGAAGCCCCAGUAAACGGCGGCCGUAACUAUAACGGUCCUAAGGUAGCGAAAUUCCUUGUCAGGUAAGUUCUGACCCGCACGAAUGGCGUAACGACUUGGGCGCUGUCUCAACAGCCCACCCGGCGAAAUUGUUGUACUGGUGAAGAAGCCAGUUACCCGCAACUAGACGGAAAGACCCCAUGGAGCUUUACUGUAGCUUAAUACUGGAAAUCGGUAAAUCAUGUACAGGAUAGGUGGGAGACUUGGAAGCCAGGGCGUCAGCUUUGGUGGAGUCACCCUUGGGAUACCACCCUUGAUUUGCUGGUUUUCUAACCUGCGGCCGUGAAUCCGGUCGGGGGACACUGUUAGGUGGGCAGUUUGACUGGGGCGGUCGCCUCCUAAAAGGUAACGGAGGCGCUCAAAGGUUCGUUCAGCACGGACGGAAACCGUGCAGUGAGUGUAAACGCAUAAACGAGCCUAACUGCGAGACCGACGGGUCGAGCAGUAACGAAAGUUGGAGUUAGUGAUCCGGCGGUAUGCAAGUGGAAGUGCCGUCGCUCAACGGAUAAAAGCUACCCUGGGGAUAACAGGCUGAUCUCCCCCA
This 1605-nucleotide ribosomal RNA is filed under the name human gut metagenome. RNAcentral describes it as "bacterial LSU rRNA". It matches the Rfam family "Bacterial large subunit ribosomal RNA", at positions 816 to 2494 of the family's 2925-position model. The record is from RNAcentral.